UCUAAGAGGGGUCAAAGUGUAUGAGAAAUAUCUCAUUUUUACUUCCAUCUCAGUGCAAUGAAAUUCACCUUCUAAAAGACCGUCAACUUUUUAUGAUAAUUUGGUGCAUCAUUUAAAAGAGAAGCAAUCGAUCUCAUUCUCUUACUUUAUCUUUCUUUUUCAUCCUGGCCAACUACAGUCGACUCAACCCCCGCCCCCCAACGUAUUCAAACGUUUAGGUCACCAAAAGGACAAAGGCUUGAAAGGGACACACCAGGAUCUCGUGAUGAAGUGUGGCCACUAGUGCCAAUGUUGUCAUGGCACACCUUUUAAGUGGAAGAGUUUUUUUUUCUCUCUCUCUCUCUCUCGCCUAAUAAUACGGCGAACUAAAAUUACUUUUUUAGCCUACAUUUCCACUUUAGCAUGUUCCUUUGUAACAAGUAAUUUUCUAAUAGCAAUUUACCGCUGAAGCCUGAAUUUUGUUAUCGUAAUACUCUUAGUUCUCCUUGGCUACUAACCAUUUUCUAUUUAAGUCUCCCCAUACGGUCAGUAGAGUAACUAGUUCAAUAGUUUCAUCUGUGCCUGACUGUCACCACUGAUUUGCGCUUCGUGAAAAGAUGGUCCCGAUUCUGUGAAGUAUUUAAUUACAAGCAUCUGAUUUUCAUAUGGUGUACUUGAAAGUGCAUUUCGAAAAUGUAUAUCAAUUGCCGUUUUUUAAUACGCACCGAGAGCUUUCUUUGUUUCUCCUGGGACUUGACCGAGGUAAGGGAGGGUGCAAUGUUCGUUUUCCCUUCAUUCCAUUCUUGGCAAAUUGGCAAUUUCAAAAACACCUUUUCUUAAACCCUCGGGGAAAGUCCGAGGCGGAAAAUCUGUGAACAAUGUUCAGUUCUUUUGAUAAAUUUAUCAUUUUAUUUAGUUGAUUAAUCUAUAAUCCUCUUGGUAUAUAGGUCUAAUCAAUUUUCCCACAUGAUGGAAGAAGCCUCGUUCAAUCUGCACUCCUUUGUAUUAGUCAUCUUGAACUCCAGUUGUGUCACGUUCACCUGUCAACUGGCCUUUCUUUGUCUUGUUUGUUCACGUUUUUUAUUUGCUCACGUUUUCCCGUUGUGUCCUUUGUUCGGCCUACUUGGGCAUUCUAUGUUAGUUCUUAGCAGUCCUUUUGACCCCUCGAGAGCUUUUUUAACAUUCCGAACGGCUGUUUGUGUUCUUCUGGCUGGUUUAGAUUUCCAAUGGCUGUUUAUUUAGUUCUUCGCAUGCCUAUGGUUACUUGCUGUUUUAUUCCAUUUUGGUUACCUUGGUUUUGGUUUUCAUUGACUGGUCUAAGUCACUGAAACCAAUUUAACACUAUUGAAAACAUCAUCUCCAAGGAAAUCAGAUACAGAGUCCCAGAAAUCCUCACUCGAAACAGAGACAUAAGGCAUUGACAGUGUCUUUCCUUGUUCUUAAAACGGCCAAGAUGCUGCAUCCAUCACACAGAAUCAUUACUUUAGUGUCAAAGCAACUAACAAGUGCGGCACAAACACUGGGUUUGACUUCGCACUCUUACCUGAAAUUUAUGAGGACAGCAUUCAAGCACGUUCAGUGUUCAUACUCCCUCAGAGAGGAGCCUGCUGCCUUCAUGCGUGACAGGGGUCAGAACCUAUUCAUAAUCCAAAAAGGUAGGUUCAAUAGCAGACGCAAUUAUAUGUUUACUGGCAGCCACCUACAUUGAAUAUCCCGGAUACUGGGCAUCUUUCGCGGGAUCCCUACUGGGGGUCGUCUUGGCUGUUGUGCUGAUUAACGGAGCUAAAGAGAGGAAGACACGGAAUUUGAAGUUAUGGGUUUUAAUUGCAACUUGUCUGCUGGUGAUCGGGGGUAUUACUAGUAUUGCCAUAUCAGUGGUAUCGGGAGUCUAUGCUCUCGUAAUACUCGACGUCUUUAUCUGUCUGCUCCAAAUGUACUACAUAGUAGUGGUGAGGUCAUACGUCAUACAGCUUCAAAGGGAGGAUAAUGCAGCCAUCAGGCAGUCAAAUACUCAACAACUAUAUGUACUAUACUUGUAAAAAAAAAAAAAAAAAAAAAAGUAAGCUUCGUGGACAAGCACAUGGCCUCAAUUUCUUCAGAGCAACCUCCUACACACCGAGAACAGGAAAUACUCAAUACGAAAACUCCAGAGUGUAAGUCCAUACGUCUGGCUGCUGCUGACUACCAUUUCAAUCAGUCUCGCAAAGAUCACAAUAGGAGUUCUGCUGAAUAUUUACCACCUUCCUCUUUUUUCCCAAUUUUGUAAUAGUUUGUAGGCUCUCUUGCUUAUAAUGACUUAGAUUCUCUAUGAUUUAUUUGAAUCAAGACUUCAGGUGUUUAACUUCAGUGGCUUAGAGAAUUACGAUAAAUAAUAUGCAUAUGUCAAUUCAUAAAUUUUGUUUAAUUUUUAUAAAAUAAAUAUUAAAAAAUA
Molecule: RNA transcript, 2410 nt
Organism: Macrobrachium nipponense
Lineage: Eukaryota; Metazoa; Arthropoda; Malacostraca; Decapoda; Palaemonidae
Exons: 5
Source: RefSeq, a predicted model, not a curated record